This 1003-nucleotide long non-coding RNA is filed under the name Monodelphis domestica (gray short-tailed opossum). Its description in RNAcentral is "lncRNA (ENSMODG00000050654.1)". Lineage: Eukaryota; Metazoa; Chordata; Mammalia; Didelphimorphia; Didelphidae. The record is from RNAcentral.
UGCUUCCCUUCAGUUUAGGAUAUGACUGUCUAGUACUUGGCCACCACGUAAUCUUCAUAUCUAGACCAGCAUCGGUCUAUCUUCCAUAUGAGAAACUGAGGACAUGGCUGUCUAGUACUCGGCCCCCAUGUAAUCAAUCUAGACUACCAUCAGCCCAUUUUGCACUUGAGAAAAACUGAGAACUGGGCAACCAUGCAAUAUUUCUACCUGGAGCAGCAUCGACCCAUUUUCCUGAUGAGAAACUGUGAAUUUCCCAUCUGGCAUGAACACGGCUGUCUAGGACUUGGUCCCCAUGUAAUCUUCCAAUCUAGAACAGCAUCAGCCCAUUUUUCUGAUGAGAAACUUUGUUUAGGAUGUGGCUCUCUAGAAUUUGGCAACCAUGUAAUCUUCCAAUCUGGAGCAGCACUGAUCCAUUUUCCUGAUGAGAAACUGAGUUUAGGAUGUGGCUCUCCAGAACAUGGCAACCAUGUAAUCUUCCUAUCUGGAGCAGCACCGACCCAUUUUCCUGAUGAGAAACUGUGUUUAGCAUGUGGCUCUCUAGAACUUGGCAACCAUGUAAUCUUCCUAUCUGGAGCAGCACCGAACAAUUUUCCUGAAGCGAAACUGUGGUGAGUAUCGUUUAUAUCGUGAACCAAAGAGCUAUGAAUAUUGAUACAAAUAUGGUGGUAUUUCCAUUGUUUUUCUUAUCUGGAAUGAACCUGGAUUCUUUGUGCUUGUCCCCAGUGUAAUCUUCCACAUCUACACCUCCAUUAGCCCAUUUUCCAGAUGAAAAACCUGAAGGAAAUAUCAUGUAGAUAAUGAAAAAUAGAGCCAUGAUUGUUCAUACAACUUUGUUGAUGUUUCCUUUGUGCUUCCCGUCUGGCAUGAACAUCGUUAUCUAGAACUCGACCGCCGUAUAAUCUUUCGUAUCUAGACUUCCAUCAGCCCAUUUUCCAGAUGAGAAAAUUGAAGAGAAUAUUUUGUAGAUAAUAAAACUGAGCCCUGAUUAGUGAGAGAACUUUGG